GCUUUGGAUCUCUUUAGGAGUCCGGAAUGCAACAUUAUUAGGCUGUUCUAAAUUUACUUCUGCAUUCUCAGAAUUAUUUCUAAGUUCUGUUGAAGAAGCUGUUUUAUCUGCUUUCUUCUGGAAAGUUAGGAUGAUUAUAAUCCUGCAUUAGGUUUUCAUGGAGGUGGAGGUUGAAAUUCAGGAGGAGUUGGGGGAAGGGAGGACAAAGAGAAUCCUCCUAAGGUUUAAAGGAUACUACAUAUUGCUAGUUCUCUUCCUAUUUUCUGACCACUAUAAGUUCUCCUUUGGAGGAGUGUUUUUCAUUCUAAUUGUUAAGUGACUUGCCUUAUGUGACACAGAUAAUAAGCAGCAUGGUAAGAAUUUACUACUAAACUGUCAGCUUUGUUGGGAGUGAGAGGUUCAAGGAACAUGAAUUAUGUUUCAUUUCAUUUUUGGAUUUCCCUAUAGCUUGGAUAAUGGAAAUGAUUACUGAAUAAAAUUAAACAGAGGUGAUAGUUCA
Molecule: long non-coding RNA, 499 nt
Filed under: Monodelphis domestica (gray short-tailed opossum)
Lineage: Eukaryota; Metazoa; Chordata; Mammalia; Didelphimorphia; Didelphidae
Description: lncRNA (ENSMODG00000031122.2)
Source: RNAcentral